RNAcentral lists this unclassified non-coding RNA (547 nucleotides) under Hevea brasiliensis (rubber tree). Lineage: Eukaryota; Viridiplantae; Streptophyta; Magnoliopsida; Malpighiales; Euphorbiaceae. The record is from RNAcentral.
AAUUGGUAUGUGCAAGUAUGUAAAAUUUGCAUAGCUUGUGCAAGAGGUUAUGCAAUUCGGACAUGUGAAUGCAAAUUAAGAAUGAAUAGUGCCGCAAAAUUAAAAAAUGAGUCAAUUUAAAAUUUGGUGCCCAUAACUCAAUUGCUUUCAAAACUAUUAACUAUUUACACUUAAAUAACACCAAGUGCUAAAUUAGAACCUAAAAUUUUCACAAUUUCCACGUAAGAUCAUCCAAUCAAUCCUCAAUACAAGAAAAUUAUCAAUUAAUUCAACAUUUACAGUAAAAGAACAUAUAGUAGCACACCAUCCACUUAUCAAAAUAAAAAAUAAGAGAUGAAGGAACUCCCUUAAAUGUUGCCUUUUGUAAAAUAUAAGCUCUUCACAACAACUCUUCGUUUUGCCAAGUUGACAAAACCUGUUGUAUGAUAUCAGAUUCAAUUCCUCAAUUUGCAAUUUCACAUCUUCGAUCUUAUAAACAUCUGUAUAAAAUAAAAUGAGACAAUUAUCAAAAAUUCAAUUCAAGAGUGAUUGGAAAAAAGAUAAAACA